GGGUCAGUAGGUUGGUCGUGCCACCGGUACGUACUGGUCUCACUGAUUCCUCCUUCCUGAAGAACCGUAAUGCCAUUAAUUUGGUGUUGCGGGGAAACAGGACUGUUACUUUGAAAAAAUUAGAGUGUUCGAAGCAAGCUAACGCUUGAAUACAUUAGCAUGGAAUAAUGAAAUAGGACGAUCGAUCCUAUUUUGUUGGUUUCUAGGAUUGACGUA
RNAcentral lists this ribosomal RNA (216 nucleotides) under Glomeromycotina sp. RNAcentral's name for it is "partial small subunit ribosomal RNA". The stretch from base 40 to 216 matches the Rfam family "Eukaryotic small subunit ribosomal RNA", at positions 686 to 864 of the family's 1831-position model. Lineage: Eukaryota; Fungi; Glomeromycota. The record is from RNAcentral.